This 322-nucleotide ribosomal RNA is filed under the name uncultured bacterium. RNAcentral describes it as "bacterial SSU rRNA". It matches the Rfam family "Bacterial small subunit ribosomal RNA", at positions 994 to 1339 of the family's 1533-position model. The record is from RNAcentral.
ACCGCUGGAGAGAUUCAGCUUUCUCGUAAGAGACCUGCACACAGGUGCUGCAUGGCUGUCGUCAGCUCGUGUCGUGAGAUGUUCGGUUAAGUCCGGCAACGAGCGCAACCCACGUCCGUAGUUGCCAGCAUUCAGUUGGGCACUCUAUGGAAACUGCCGGUGAUAAGCCGGAGGAAGGUGUGGAUGACGUCAAGUCCUCAUGGCCCUUACGGGUUGGGCUACACACGUGCUACAAUGGUGGUGACAGUGGGUUAAUCCCCAUAAGCCAUCUCAGUUCGGAUUGUCCUCUGCAACUCGAGGGCAUGAAGUUGGAGUCGCUAGU